CUGAUUGAGGCCGGUGUCGAUGCUGCCCUGCCCAUUCUCAAAACAAUUACGCAAAUCUUAGAUGAUCUGUUAAAUGAAACAUGUUAUCAGUGGUUGGCGAGAUGGCAUGUGCAUAACUUAUAUGAAGCAUGCGAAAGAGGGUAUCAUAUUUUAGAGGGAUGAAUUGAUUAGUACCAGCAUGUAUGGAAACUUAAUGCUUCCAGAAUUAAGCCACAAAUUUUUCAAGCAAAGCACCAUAUUUUUCUUAUGCUUUAGAAGGAUGAAGGAACUAAAAUCAACCUUAAUGUUUGGCACAAAUUUCCAACAAUGUAUUGAAACUCCUAGGCCCUUUGUUUUGUUUCAACCUUUCACUCCAGCUUUGUUUGGUUUCUCUGACCACCAAUGACACGUGAAGAUAACCACAAGUGUGCCAUCUUCAGUGUGGCCGUGACACAGUCCAGGAGCCUAAGCCAAAUAUCCUCAAGCAUGAGUACAAGCCAUGCCCGCUGCACUUUCUUGUAUAUCUCAUAUUAAUAAAACAAGAAAAUUGUAGUUUGGUGCAGCUAGGAUAUACAACUUUGGUACUUUCCAGUUAACAUGAAAACUGUACACCUAUAUAGAACAGAAGCAACUUUUGCAGGAACAAAAUCGGAUAGCAGAAAAGGUGUUUGAUAGCCAAAUACAUAUAAUUAAAACAUAAACAAAAGGAUUGUAUCCUUCAAACUGCAGUUAAUAACUUCCACACUGGAGGAAUGUAACAGGAGAAAUUUGAACAGAAAAUAAUAACUUUCACACUCUGUAUAACCAUCAAUUUUGAAACAAAAGGAUUAUAUCCUUCAAACUGUAGCUAAUAUGGUACACAUCUUGCUAGCAGGAGCAAGAUCAAAUUUUGAGCUAACAUAGAACUAUACUGUAAAACUAAUGAUGCAAUACAAAAAACAAGUGUCAGCUUGGUAUCUUUAUGCAUCUUGCUAGCAAGUUCAGGAUCAAACUGUAACUCUUGGCAGAGAUUUUGGAGGAAUGAUGCUUUGUUAGGAGAAAUAGCCAAAUCAGUACUAAAGAAUUUUGUAAGCCUAUUUCUGUAUGCUUGAGAUUCGAUAUCUGAGAUGAUUGCGUGUGCUUCAUGCUUCACUAAUCCAAAUAUAUAUCUCAGACCAUUCAAAGGAAUAACAUGCAACUUUUAAUCACACAAAUAUUUAUGUUAAGAUAAUAACGAGUAUAAAACAUUUGAAUGGACAGUAAUAUAAAUUGUAGAAGACCAUGUAUCAUGUAUUUAGAGUCUCACAGUCAACCCAACUUAUGAACUCUUAUUAUAAUAGGGCAACUCACAGCUCACGUACCAUUGAAAAACAUAUGGCAAUUUGUGGUGAUAUACAUAUGUACUCCACAGAAAUAAAAAGAAUUGAUCAGCCCUAGGAAAGCACUUUAUGCAAAUAUUGCAGGUGCUUGUAGGAAAAUGUCGCUAAUCUUUAUACACUCAUCAUUUUAAACAUGCAAAACUGCAGCUCCAUCAGAGGGGCCAAUAGCUCCUGUGCGACGUUUUUGAGGUGAAUUGGCAAGAGUGCGACGUUGUUCGAGCGAAUGGCUGUGGUGCGACACAUUUGAGCAUGUAAAUAGCCCAGGGCCACAUGGGGUGUUAAAUGUGGUUAAAUUGGUCGUCAACCAAGCCCGCCCGUUUAGGUUAGGACAUGUGGGUCCAACUUAAUUGUUCCUCAAAACAGCUGACCGUGCCCUGCCGCCCGACCGUGCCGGGCCCGCCACUCUGCCCCCCUUCUUCUCCGAUGGCGGCGGAUCUUGCGUUCUCGGUGGCGGCGGCGGAGCCCUCGUUCUCAACGGCGGCAGAGCCUUCGUCCUCAAAAAAUGGUGAGUGAAUUCAAACCCUAGUCGCCCUCCCGUUCCUCUCUCGGGCCCGUAGAUCUCAGCUCGUUUCCUCUGUUUUCGCUUGCGGAAUCGAUAGGUUGUGAGGGGAGCCCGUGGGCAUACUGAGAUGGAGCCGCCAAAUUCAACUUCGAAUAGGUAAUGCGCCUCUCUCUGAUCCAAUUUUGCAUGCAAUUAGGGGGGGGCUCACACUGUCCGCCACUGACAGAGGGGAUGCUGCCGCUCGGACCUUCGGACUGACAGUCAAUUUCUUUCCAUCAAAGGCAAAAUUAGUUGAUGGUAGCAUACAGAACAUUGAGAGAGACACAAUUGUUAAAUGGGAGGUUGAGUUUAUAGAGAUUGAUCCACAAGUUCUACAGAACAUGGGGGAGACGGCAGUGAAGAAAUGGGUGGAAAAAAUUGGGGAGAAUAUUGUUUGGGGUCCAGAGCAAGAAGUAUCACUGUUGCGGUUUGAUGAUUGGAAAGGAGAGUAUCUGAGAAUAGAAGAUGGUGAACAGAUUGUUGAAGAAACCGAUCGGCAAAACGGCUGGACAAGCAAACGGGCUAAUUUUUUUGCUGAGCUCGUUGAUCUGAACAUUUUUUUGAAGGUUGGAUAUGUGCCAUCACAAUUGGCUGCGCAGAUGGUAGAUGAUGAUUGGGCUACACAGAGGCCAUUGAUUCCCAUGUGUACUGAACUUACAGUAAUAGCCGAAGAGGGACAGGUGACUAGAACUGAAACUGAAACUGCAGCAACUGUUGAUUGGAAUGUAGUUGAAUUAGAUGAGCCUAUUGAUUUGGUCAUUGCACCAAUGCCUGACAUUGAGAUGGCCAAACUUUUUGGCAUUCCAGUCGAUGACAGAGAUAAGCAGGAGAGGGGCGAAUCUAGUUUGCCUACUAAUGCUGAUGAAGAAGUAGAUGGACAGUUGAUGGAACAAGCUGCAAAUGAAGUAGAUGAUGCACAUGAUGAUGAGCUGGUGCAUGUGUAUGACAAAGAAAACCCUGUCAUUGAAGUAGGCAAGUUGUUCCCAAGCAUGAAGGAGUUUAGGAUGUGUUUCAAGACUUAUGCAGUGAAACAUAAGUUUGAUGCCAAGACUGUUUGGACUGAUAGAAAGAAGUUUUAUGCGAGGUGCAGAGGAUUUGAUGGUAGUGUGAAGCCUUGCAAGUGGUACAUAUCUGCUAGACUGCAACCUGAUGGAAGUACUGUCAGGGUUAACCAAAUCCCCAAUCAACAUACUUGUAUUACAAGUUCACAGAGAGUAUCAACCAUGACAUCACAACUUUGAGUUGCAGAAAAGAUCACCCCAAUUUUAGCCAAAACACCAAACACUACUGCCAAGAAACUCAAAGUAGACUUGGAAAAGAUGUACCCCAUUAAACUGAAAUAUACCACAGUGUGGAAGGCAAAACAAAGGGCACUGAAAAAUUUAUAUGGUGAUUGGGCAAAUACAUUUAGGAUGCUUUACAACUUCAAAGCAGAGGUGGAAAAGAGGUCACCUGGCAGUGUUGUGGAGAUAGAUACAGAGGUAUCAGCCGAAGGUGAAGUCAAGUUCUCCAAGUUUUUUAUGGCUUUGAAGCCUUGCAUCGAUGGGUUCAAAGCAGGGCGCCGUCCAUAUUUGAGCAUAGACUCAUCAUUUUUGACAGGCAAGUGGAAUGGUAAGUUGGCAGCAUGCAAUGCUCUAGAUGGACACAAUUGGAUGUUUCCUAUUGCUGUUGGCUUGUUUCAGUCAGAAACAGAGGCUUCAUGGACAUGGUCCAUGAUCCAGUUGAAAAGAUGCCUAGGGCCAGUGUCACCUUUGGCUAUACACACAGAUGCAUGUAAGGGGCUUGAAAAUCCAGUGAAAAAUGUUUUCCCACAUGCUGAGCAGAGGGAGUGCUUCAGUCAUUUGUGGAUGAAUUUGAUCAAAAAAUUUAGAGGAGAAGAAUUUGGGCGCAUGUGGCCAGCAUCAAGAUCUUACACUAGACAGACACACAAAUAUCAUCUUGAUAAGAUAAUGGCAGCAUGUGAUGAGUUUGGUCCAUGGCUGAACACCUACCAUUCUUUGUUAUGGUACAGGUCAGCAUUCAACACUGCCAUCAAGUGUGACCACAUCAACAACAAUUUGGCAGAGAGUUUCAACAACAAGGUGAAGGAGUUAAAAGAUUUGCAUGUGCAUGACAUGGUUGACCAAAUCAGGAUCAUGCUCAUGCGGUUGUGGGAAUUGAGAAGAAGGAUAGGUGAUUGUCUGCAAGGUGAUAAGAUUCCAGCAGUGGUACAACAUGUGGUCAAUAGGAGCAGAUGUCUUUCACAUUUGUUUGUUGAAAAAUCUUCACCUUGGGGUGCUGAAGUUAGAGAUAACAAAACUGGAAGGAGACAUGUUGUUAACACUGAAUUGCAUGAUUGCACUUGCCUCGAGUGGCAACACACUGGUAAACCAUGUGAGCAUGCCAUUCUCUUCUUAGCAUCCCAACCGAAGAUAAACAUGCACCCAUAUUUGCAUGAAUAUUAUUCGGUAGCAAGAUUCAAAGCUGCAUAUGCUACUCCAAUUCCAACACUUACAGAUCAGUCUCAGUGGCCUAAAGUGGACAUUGAAUUUUCCAUGUGUCCUCCCUUGACGAAAACAAAGGCUGGCAGGCCUAAACAGAGUAGAUUCAAGGCAUGGUUUGAGAAAGGUGGGAGUAGUAAGAAGGGAAAGAAAGAUGGAAAGCCAAAAAGGGCCCAAAAGGUAACAAAAACAGAUGUAAGUUGUGCCAGGAACUUGGGCACAGAGUGGGAUCUGUCAAAUGCCGUUACACUCCUGAUAAGCCAAAGUAUGUUCUUGUUUAUUUGUCUGUGUUUUGAUUUGGUGCUUUUUUUCCAAUUACUAUAUCUAUAACAUUUUCCCUAUGGACAGGAGGAAGCGAGCAAGUCAGCCCCUUGUUGUUGAACAAUGUUGGCCAACAAAAAAAGCAAGAGUCAAUGGCGGUAGAAAGAAGAGAAGUGUGCCUGAGCCUGAGCAGACUGAAGAAAAUCCUGCUGCAGUCAACAUUCAGACUGAAGAAACUGCUCUCGAGGUUGAAACUGAACCUGAGCGUGUCGAGGUUCAGACUGAAGAAAGCCAUGUUGAGGUACACACCGAAGAAACUGAAACCGUUGUCAACAUUGAGACUGAAGACACUGAUCACGAGGGUGUAGGCGAGGUGUUGAAAAGACCAGUGAAGAAAACCAAGAUGAUCAGUGAACUUGUGUGUGUAGUAGAACCAAAAAAAGGAGUGCUAAGGCGAAGAAGGGCACGCGACGUGGUAGGAAGAGGUAGAACAGAGAACAGUUUGAAAAUUUGGGGCAUGUAAUAAUAUUUGUAACUUGGUGCGUACUGGUAGUCACUAUGUAUCCCCGUAUUGCUAUUUGAACUUGUUUGUUGGUACCUUGUCUAAACCAGCCAAAUAACAUUCAAAUUUGGGCUCAAAUUUGAAUUAGGGAUGGGGUAUUGAUGUUUUAAUGCUAUCUAAAGUACCUCAACUGAAAUAUUUUUGCUUGCUGAUCAUUCCGAGCCCUUUUGGUAAGUUGAACUCAUAGUCAUGAAAAGUGUGUCUCAAAUGACCUCCAAAGGUAGGGUAAAUGGCCUCAUAUUUAAAGUUUUUUUGGCACCUUGUCUAAACCAGCCAAAUAAUUUUUCUACACAUCUAUUCUACCUAUAUAGUGUAAAUCUAAAGUCUCACCAUUUAUUGAAUUAAUUUUCUAUUAUUUUCUUUUUUUUGAAAAAACAAGGUUUAAUAGAAAAUUAUAUAUAUAACAAGUUUAAAACAUGAAAAUGAGAAAAGUAAGUUAAGAUCUUUCUUAGUCAAUCCAAAAUGAAGUUUUGGUGAGGUUUUCACACUUUUCAUUUUCAAAACCCCACCUACUCUCGGGUGCCCACUACUCUCUCCCUUGAACUCCAUACUACAUUGUUCGAGGAAUGACAAUUCUGUGAAGGAUUUUUCGUAAAAAUGUAUGUAAACCAUAUUUAUAUUUUUUUUCUCGUUACCAUACGACAUAAUAAGACUAUGUGCGCAAGUUUUAUAUUUUUUUGAUUUUUUUUUUGAAUUAGUUAUGCUCAACCCUAAUCAGUCAAAACCCCUCUCAAAACCCCUCAAAACCCCGCACACUACCGGGUCGUCGAUCGUUGUGCGUGGACGGUUGAGAUCAGGUGCUAGGGUUAGCUACAGUGUGCAUCGAUCCGCAUGAGACGCGCUGAUUGGUUGAAUCAGUGUGCAUCGAUCCGCAUGAGACGCGCUGAUUGGUUGAAUCGGUGGGGUUUGGAUCAGCCUCUCUCGUUGGGGCAUCAGGACCAUUCAUUUGAAUCCAAUGGCAAGAGUUGACGCAGUGCAUGGACCAAGCCUACGCAGUGCCCUUUCCAUCGUUGCAUGCGUGCCCGUGCCUACCCGCAGCAUGCAUGCCCACCCGCAGAACUGCACCCGUGCGUUGCAUGCAUGCCCUCGACGUAGCCCUGCUCCGCCACCCCUAUCGACACAGUAAGCUGUCGCAUGCCUACCAUUAGAACCGAUGCAUCGUCGCAUCAAAGCAUGCACCCGGCCAUAAUGCAGCAGCCCGAUGAAGACAACCAAAAAGCCAACGCUGCAUGGCGUGCUGUACAUGGCGUGCUCCUCUUUGAGGACGCAAUACUGGCAUGGGGUAUCGAUGUGGGUAUCGAUGCAGUUCAAACGGUGUGCUGCCCGUUACAAGAUGGGCAAAUGAAGGCGUCCAUUAUUGUCACGUCGCCCAUCGACCGAACGUUGCCCUCUAGCCAGGCCCUAGCAAGAUGUGCAAAUUAAUGGGCUACGGCAUGAAUGCACGGACGGCACACGCAGAGAACCCGGGGCAGGGGUGUCCCCUUGACCCACGACGGCACAGACGCGUGCGUGAGCCCGUCCCCCUUGACCCGCGACCGGUGGCACAGAAGGAUCGCAGCCCGUUUCCCACGCUCGUGUACACACUUUCAUGGGGCGCCACCAAACGCCGCCCGCCCAUUAAUUCUACGGGGUGAAACCACGUCGCACUUGGGCUAUUUAAGACGGGCACUAUCGUCUUCCUCUUCCUCCUCAUCCACACCCCAUCCUCUGCCUCCUCUGCCCUCCUUCUUCCUUCUUCUCCAUCAAACCCGAUCGAGCCCUCGAGCCACCCCGCCACCAUACAUUUCAACGGCCCCACCUACCGCUUCCCCCCAACCGUGCCGGAAAGGCUCUACCCGGCCGGAGUGUAUGUAGAGAAAACCCUUAGGGUUUGGGCGAUCUCGAGGUGGAGGGGGCAAGGGAGUUAACGGAGUUCUUCCUUGCGGCCGGCUUCCGCCACCUCCCCCGCGGCUCUCCUCGGAUGUACCAUCUUGAGGAGGUCAACCACAACGCCGUUGUGGUUGGGCUCCUCGCCACGUUCACUAACCCUUUCGAUGCUUUCCAUCUCCUCGGGCGAGCGUAUUGGGUUGGUUGCGAGUUCAUAGCUUUCACAACCUACAAUAUCUUCACCGACUUCAAUGGCAUCUUCCCCAACAACGGCGUUAUGCACACGCUCCCGUACCCCAUCAAAAACGGGGAGGAGUGAAGGGCGGCGCCCGGAGGAGCGAGGUGGCCCCGGAGGAGGAGGAGAAGAAGAACCCGAAGAACCCGCGUUUGGUGCCCCCCUAUCUAUCUAGCUUGCUAUAGAUCUAUCGUAUUAGUUUUUUUAAGUUGUAAUCGUUAUGCUACUAUUAUUAAGUUUUAUUAGUACUUUAAGUUGUAAGGCUAUCAUGGAGUUGUAAGGCUUUCGUGGAACUAUGGGUUGCAAUCGUUAUGCUUCUAUACAAUCGUUAUGCUACUAUAUAUAUUGUGUGUUUCGUGCUAUUAUUUGUGGAUUGCUAUGGGUUGUUUUUGCUUAUUAUUCUUGUAUUGCUAUGGGUUGCUACGGGCCCGGGUUUCUACACCCCAAUCACCACACACACCAUCUUCAAAAUAUUGGCCAAACCAUGGACAUGCAACUAGGAGCCCCAUGCAAACCCACUAUGGACAUGGGUGCAACUAGGAAAUGCAAACUAAUUUACUUCGGGCACUUCAUACAAGCAUGCAACUCAUUUAGUUCAUGGAAACGUAGACAUGCAUAAAAACAAUUAACAUUUAGUUUUAGUGCAUCAAAAAAUGAUCCAUCACAAAAUUUAGUGCAAGAAAAAGGCCAAAAUAAAAACAAGUAACAUUUUAUUGGGCCCCAUUUUAUUUGCCGAAGUUAGAGGUGGGCUGGUGCCCCUACGCGGGUGGGCUGGUCACGGCCCAACAUCUAUUCGGCAGCCCAAUUUUGUUUUUUUACUAGAAACUGAAUUUGGGUGUGUACUCUGUUAACUGAAGAACAAAAACAGAGGAAACAGAGCAUGAACACUGAAUAAUUUGUGUUCCAAAUUGCUGCUUCAAUUCAGAUACAUAACUUGGCAUGGCGCACAGAUUACAUCCUCUACCCUGACAGGCCUAAAUGCCCAUUCUAAUGACAGAUGAACAACAAAUAAAACAAAAACAGAGCAAUGAUACAACAAUAGAAUCCCCCUGCCAUGAUAUUUGCUUGCUUCUGCAAAUCGAUCAUCUGCAUUAGAUGUUUCUUGAUCUUCUUCAGUUCCUCGGUCAGUUCGGACUCCGCAUGUAGUUCAGCAUUGCGCGCAUACAUCGCCAUCGGCACGACUCCGCCCGCCCUCCGCCCGAGCUCCCCGUAUUCUCCACAGCAAUCGGCGGCACCCCGCCCAAAUUGAGCUCCCAGGUUGCGGCCACGCUCGAAUCAACGUAGCCCUCAAACUGAAUCCUAUCAACAUAUUCAUCAAUCCACUCGAAAUGGUAACAUUUCUUCAAGAUCUAAAAAGAACAACAUGAACCCUAAAUCCCAAAUUCGAGGAGAAAAAACAAAAUAUGGAGAAAUCAGAGCAAAAGACAGCGAAAGAACGGGCAAAGAACUGAGAUCUAACCUUGCCAUCCCUUCCUGCCAUUGGUUUGCUCAAGCAUUUCACAAAUUCCCGCCCAAGAUUUCCAUUGUCAUCCCUCUUAGUGACCAACCGUUUAUGAGGGUCUGGGCGUGGGCAGUCAGGGCACCUUGUGAGCACCACUGGUCCAUACUGUCGCCAUUUUGAGUGCGUGGCGGAGGAGGUAGACAUUUGCGCUAGGUCGCCAGAGAAGAGAAAGAUUGGGGAAAGGGGAUGAAUGGGCGGCGGCGGGUGGACGGGCACGGGCGCUCGUCUCUUCUAGAUGCGAGGAGGUGGGUCCCGCGAAUAGACAAGAGGUGGGUCCCGCGCUUACGUGGAUAAGUGGUGGGUCCAGCCCCCAACAGCUAACGAGGGCAUCAGUUGAGUUUAAUAGCCAUGUCGUGCGUGGGCUAUUUACCUGCUCAAAAUUGUCGCACCACAGCCAUUCGCUCGAACAACGUCGCACUCUUGGCAAUUCACCUCAGAUGUGUCGCACAGGAGCUAUUGGCCCCCAUCAGAGAGGUGAUUUAGUAAAGGAGGCUAUAGGAUAUUUAGAAAAAUCCGCUCUCUCUCUCUCUCUCUCUCUCUCUCUCUAUAUAUAUAUAUAUAUAUAUAUAUAUAUAUAUAUAUAUAUAUCUCCCUCUCCCUCCCUCCCUCCCUGGUAACCAUGGAUAUUUAUUUAUUUAGGUGAUCAUAAAAAUAUAUAUUCUAAUUGACUAUAAGAAUAGUGUAGUUCAUUUGGAUGUAAAAACAUUGAUGGCAGAAAGGAGUGAUACAAAAACAAAUUAACGCAUCUAUGAAUAGACCCUGAAUCCAUUGUUCAAAUACAUUAUGAGUUCUACACUAUUUUUCCACAAAAUGGCAAACAUGAUGCUCAUUAUGAUUGGAGCAAACACUUUCAACUACGAAGUGAUAUACAUAGGCAAAACCUUUGGAAAGAUAGUUAUGCAUACCAACAAACUAUUAGUUGUGUAUCAUAGAAUUAAACCUCGAUAGAAUAGCCAUGUCAAGAAAGGAUUACCAGGUGCACUAUCUUUUCCUUAUAUAUAAUACAGAUAUGCCCUGCAGUAAUGAAGAACAAAGCUGAAAUUAGCAAUCAGUUAGUGCAUCUAUAAAAAAAAUUUGGUUGAUUACCUUAAUGCUAUUAGGUUCAGAAGACUGGUCCUGGUCUGUUUAUACAAGAAUUUGAAAGAACAGAAUAGUUAGUAUAGCUCUGAAAUAGCACGCUUAGAUACGAAGUGCACAUGCAAUCAUCAAAUUUUCACAAGACAACACGCUUGCUAACAUCAUAUUGUUGUAACAAAUACAUGAAAGUAUUGACUAAUUAUCAAAAGUGCAGAAGUAUUGGCAAUAUAGAUGUAUACACUUGGUAACGCCAAUAUCUAGAAGUGAUAUUUAGUAGAUAUGACAUAUACCCAUGCCACAAAUGAUGUUACCUCGUGUUGGAAGGUUGUCAUGUAGGAUUAGAUGGGUGCAUUAUUUUUUAUAGAACACUAUAUAUUAGAGAAGGGUUACUCAAUCCAGCGUACGUAGUAUUCUCCGACGCUACAUGUAGAUAUAACACUGAUAGCAUAUAAAAAAAGGGGAAGAACUGAUGCUAUGACCUAUCUUGGACAAGGGGGAAAAGAGAAGAAAAACUCCACGAGCAUGUACAACCCACAAACAAAGUAGCAGUAUAUCACCAAUGACAUUCAGAAGGAAAAGCAAUUUUUGGUACUUUAUUAUAAUUGGAUUUUUAGUGCAUAAUCGACACGACAGUAAUCAAAAUAUGUUAUAUCUGCAUUCUGUUAGUAGGACUGAAGAUAAGGGCCGGGGCACAAAUUUUUAUCGAAGAUAAGAUGAACUUGUAAUUAAUUCAGGAGAUCGCUUUUCUAUGCAGAAUUGAUUUCUCUACAGAAUAUUAUAAACAAUGUACUGAUGCAUAAAAAAAUUAUGAAAUCUUGGACAGAGAUGGCACCUGAGUCGGCGGCGUCCAGGAGAGUAGCACCCGAGUCGGCGGCGUCCAAGAGAGUAGCGCCUAUGUUCAGCAUCACAAAGGACGCUGUCAAGCCAGCGAGGUCAACAAUCGGCGAGGUCGAGCAUGAACGACCUGACCAGCAUGGCAGUGCCAAGUGCGCCACGAGUACCUUCACUCGAGUAAAUGUUCCGAGUGUCUUCAAGGUUGAUCCAUUGCAAACUUCUUCAGGCAAUGUGUUGAUAAAUAGGUGUUAGUCACAAACAUUGUACUCCAGGGUGAAUAAUCAGUGGUCUCCGCAGUAAAGAAAACACAAGAAUAUAUAUAACAACUAUCAAUUACCGGAGAAAUACUAAAUUGUUCUCUCGCUUCAGGCAAUAAUGAAUAGCAAGCAAUUAGUAAUACUCUGCGAGCUUCGGGCAAUGAAUUAGUGUUGAAAGUGAAAAUGUAAGAAAGAAAUAACUAAAAACUGUUCAGAAGCUUCAGGCAAUCCAUAACUGAAGCGAGAACCGUCAAAGCGUAGAGCUCCUAGUUUGGCGAUGACGACAACGCCUUUCCUCCCAGCCUUAGCCGUGCCUCCUCAACUUGCAUGUGGAUCCGCCCAGAAGUGAUCAUGGGAGCAAAUAAAACAUGCAGGCAUUAAGAUUGAUUCAUUUGUAUUUUGUGUUGUAUAACAAAC
Molecule: long non-coding RNA, 11368 nt
Filed under: Triticum aestivum (bread wheat)
Lineage: Eukaryota; Viridiplantae; Streptophyta; Magnoliopsida; Poales; Poaceae
Description: long non-coding RNA (TAES_LNC000831)
Source: RNAcentral